CAAGAAUUAGUUCAAAAAAACCACCAAUCAGAAAUAAGAAGUUUACUAGAAGUUAAAUCAACAUGAAGACUUUACUUCUUAAAAUCCUAUAUGUAACUUUUUCAGUUAGUAAGAAACAGUAUUAAAUGCGAUAACUUACUCUACAAAACUAAUAAAAUAAAUAUCUGAGAACAAAAGAUAGCGAGGUUCACCCUUCUUGUUAAUCCGUAUCCAAAUAGCGCUACAAUGGUCUAACUUGUUGAGAAGGGCCCAACUGACUUCAUGAAAAUGUGUUGGCUAUAACGAAUGAAAGGCUCAACACAGGACGGAUCUUGAUUCAAGGAACUCUGAUAAGCAUUGGUUGUGUCGCAUUUUCUGAUGGCAAAACGUCAUCAGGAAACAACAUCUAAUGUCCUGCGGAUAGAGGCAAUUUCAAGAUCAAGAUGGCUGAUGGUGUGGAAAGAAUACAACUAGGGAUGUUAUCUCUGGUUAUAUGUUCGAAGCACUGACUAUACCUAAAGGAGUACUUACUAUGUAAAGAAAGGGGCAAGAAGUAUAUUGAAAGGUAACACUAUUAGAAAUACUGCAGCUUUUUGCACCACUGGAAUUUGAACAAGCUUUACUUUGGUACUUACGGAUGGGACACACAAGUGAACUAUGUAAAACAGAGAUCUCCAAGCUUCAAUUUGUAAACACUUCAUUCUUGGACAACAAACCAGACAAGUUUCUAAGACUGCUGGAUUCUAGACUGUGAAGACUACUCCUUGGCAACUAUUGGACUCAAAAUAACUAUGGAACUCUGGUCACGGAUGGCAGUGAAUUAUGUGAACUUUAAGAAUUUUUGACUGCAUGUAAAUGAAGGGAAGCUUGAACCAAGGGAAAGUAUAGGCAUUUUUCUUGGAUUUUGAUGCAGGAUCGAAAAGAGGGCAGCAAGAAAGGGGGGAGAACCAGAGAGAAUGGGGGGGAGAAACCGGAGAAGUAGCUGAAAUUCAGGGGGAAGUGAGAGGAAGGAGACGCCACAACCAAUUUCAAUUCAUCAUAAGCUUCAACUGUUUUGCAAUUCCAGUUAUCAACAUAUAAAUAGCAACAAAAAAAACCCUAAUAUUCACGGGCUUGGACCCACUAGACAAGUUCAAUGAAAUAAAAGAUAUCAUUAAAUAAGACACGAAGUAAAAUAAUUGAGCCGAUGUCCACAUCAACUCUCUUCGGGUGGGAGUAAACUCGACCCUGUCGAGUGGACAGAACACAAAAGGCUACAGUCAACCUAAUACCAACAAGGUUCCAUAUCAUAUCUCUAUUCAGUGCUAAGCUUCUGAACUCAUGCCACGGGGGAUGAUCUUUUUGAAGAAUCAAAUAUUGAAAUUCAACAGUUGAUAAUAGUGAAAGCUACAGCUUAUCCUCAAGGAUAUGAUCCACCCGAGGAGGACGAUCUCUCUUUUUAAUCAAAUACUAAUACUGAUCUUCAAAUAGUAAAUGCUCAUACAACUCAAUUCCAAAAUCUUCAUGUAAUUGUACAUAAUGAGGAGCAUAAG
RNAcentral lists this long non-coding RNA (1511 nucleotides) under Olea europaea subsp. europaea. The record is from RNAcentral. Lineage: Eukaryota; Viridiplantae; Streptophyta; Magnoliopsida; Lamiales; Oleaceae.